This 301-nucleotide ribosomal RNA is filed under the name uncultured bacterium. RNAcentral describes it as "partial 16S ribosomal RNA". It matches the Rfam family "Bacterial small subunit ribosomal RNA", at positions 509 to 808 of the family's 1533-position model. The record is from RNAcentral.
CAGUAGCCGCGGUAAUACGUAGGUCCCGAGCGUUGUCCGGAUUUAUUGGGCGUAAAGCGAGCGCAGGCGGUUAGAUAAGUCUGAAGUUAAAGGCUGUGGCUUAACCAUAGUACGCUUUGGAAACUGUUUAACUUGAGUGCAAGAGGGGAGAGUGGAAUUCCAUGUGUAGCGGUGAAAUGCGUAGAUAUAUGGAGGAACACCGGUGGCGAAAGCGGCUCUCUGGCUUGUAACUGACGCUGAGGCUCGAAAGCGUGGGGAGCGAACAGGAUUAGAUACCCCGGUAGUCCCUGUCUCUUAUACC